ACUCCUACGGGAGGCAGCAGUGGGGAAUAUUGCACAAUGGGCGCAAGCCUGAUGCAGCCAUGCCGCGUGUGUGAAGAAGGCCUUCGGGUUGUAAAGUACUUUCUAGUCGUGAGGAAGGCGGCGUCGUUAAUAGCGGCGUUGUUUGACGUUAGCGACAGAAGAAGCACCGGCUAACUCCGUGCCAGCAGCCGCGGUAAUACGGAGGGUGCGAGCGUUAAUCGGAAUUACUGGGCGUAAAGCGCAUGCAGGUGGUUUGUUAAGUCAGAUGUGAAAGCCCGGGGCUCAACCUCGGAAUUGCAUUUGAAACUGGCAGACUAGAGUAUUGUAGAGGGGGUUAGAAUUUCAGGUGUAGCGGUGAAAUGCGUAGAGAUCGUGAAGGAAUACCGGUGGCGAAGGCGGCCCCUGGACAGAUACUGACACUCAGAUGCGAAAGCGUGGGAGCAAACAGGAUUAGAUACCCCGUGGUAGGACAGUG
This 475-nucleotide ribosomal RNA is filed under the name uncultured bacterium. RNAcentral describes it as "bacterial SSU rRNA". It matches the Rfam family "Bacterial small subunit ribosomal RNA", at positions 335 to 799 of the family's 1533-position model. The record is from RNAcentral.